RNAcentral lists this ribosomal RNA (488 nucleotides) under uncultured Rhodoferax sp. Its description in RNAcentral is "bacterial SSU rRNA". It matches the Rfam family "Bacterial small subunit ribosomal RNA", at positions 8 to 489 of the family's 1533-position model. The record is from RNAcentral. Lineage: Bacteria; Pseudomonadati; Pseudomonadota; Betaproteobacteria; Burkholderiales; Comamonadaceae.
AGAGUUUGAUCAUGGCUCAGAUUGAACGCUGGCGGCAUGCCUUACACAUGCAAGUCGAACGGCAGCACGGGAGCAAUCCUGGUGGCGAGUGGCGAACGGGUGAGUAAUAUAUCGGAACGUGCCCAGUCGUGGGGGAUAACGUAGCGAAAGCUACGCUAAUACCGCAUACGAUCUACGGAUGAAAGCGGGGGACUCGUAAGGGCCUCGCGCGAUUGGAGCGGCCGAUAUCAGAUUAGGUUGUUGGUGAGGUAAAAGCUCACCAAGCCUGCGAUCUGUAGCUGGUCUGAGAGGACGACCAGCCACACUGGAACUGAGACACGGUCCAGACUCCUACGGGAGGCAGCAGUGGGGAAUUUUGGACAAUGGACGCAAGUCUGAUCCAGCAAUGCCGCGUGCAGGACGAAGGCCUUCGGGUUGUAAACUGCUUUUGUACGGAACGAAACGGUCUGCUUUAAUACAGUGGGCUAAUGACGGUACCGUAAGAAUAG